AACGAACGCUGGCGGCAUGCCUAACACAUGCAAGUCGAACGAGACCUUCGGGUCUAGUGGCGCACGGGUGCGUAACGCGUGGGAACCUGCCUUUAGGUUCGGAAUAACUCAGAGAAAUUUGAGCUAAUACCGGAUAAUGUCUUCGGACCAAAGAUUUAUCGCCUUUAGAUGGGCCCGCGUAAGAUUAGCUAGUUGGUGGGUAAAGGCCUACCAAGGCGACGAUCUUUAGCUGGUCUGAGAGGAUGAUCAGCCACACUGGGACUGAGACACGGCCCAGACUCCUACGGAGGCAGCAGUGGGGAAUAUUGGACAAUGGGCGAAAGCCUGAUCCAGCAAUGCCGCGUGAGUGAUGAAGGCCUUAGGGUUGUAAAGCUCUUUCACCGGUGAAGAUAAUGACGGUAACCGGAGAAGAAGCCCCGGCUAACUUCGUGCCAGCAGCCGCGGUAAU
RNAcentral lists this ribosomal RNA (448 nucleotides) under uncultured bacterium. RNAcentral describes it as "bacterial SSU rRNA". It matches the Rfam family "Bacterial small subunit ribosomal RNA", at positions 29 to 524 of the family's 1533-position model. The record is from RNAcentral.